CCUACGGUGGCAGCAGUGGGGAAUAUUGGACAAUGGGCGAAAGCCUGAUCCAGCCAUGCCGCGUGUGUGAAGAAGGCCUUCGGGUUGUAAAGCACUUUCAGUGGGGAAGAAAGCCUUGGGGCUAAUACCCUCGAGGAAGGACAUCACCCACAGAAGAAGCACCGGCUAACUCCGUGCCAGCAGCCGCGGUAAUACGGAGGGUGCGAGCGUUAAUCGGAAUUACUGGGCGUAAAGCGCGCGUAGGCGGUCUGAUAAGCCGGUUGUGAAAGCCCCGGGCUCAACCUGGGAACGGCAUCCGGAGCUGUCAGGCUAGAGUGCAGGAGAGGAAGGUAGAAUUCCCGGUGUAGCGGUGAAAUGCGUAGAGAUCGGGAGGAAUACCAGUGGCGAAGGCGGCCUUCUGGACUGACACUGACGCUGAGGUGCGAAAGCGUGGGUAGCAAACAGGAUUAGAUACCCCAGUAGUC
This 464-nucleotide ribosomal RNA is filed under the name Vreelandella stevensii. RNAcentral's name for it is "partial 16S ribosomal RNA". It matches the Rfam family "Bacterial small subunit ribosomal RNA", at positions 338 to 795 of the family's 1533-position model. Lineage: Bacteria; Pseudomonadati; Pseudomonadota; Gammaproteobacteria; Oceanospirillales; Halomonadaceae. The record is from RNAcentral.